AAGGCCUUAGCUUAAUUAAAGUGUCUGUUUUGCAUGCAGAAGAUGUGGGUUAAUGUCCUGCAGGUCUUA
Molecule: transfer RNA, 69 nt
Filed under: Amphiprion percula (orange clownfish)
Lineage: Eukaryota; Metazoa; Chordata; Actinopteri; Pomacentridae
Description: tRNA-Ala
Rfam family: tRNA
About the family: Transfer RNA (tRNA) molecules are approximately 80 nucleotides in length.
Source: RNAcentral